RNAcentral lists this long non-coding RNA (468 nucleotides) under Theobroma cacao (cacao). Its description in RNAcentral is "long non-coding RNA (TCAC_LNC005770)". The record is from RNAcentral. Lineage: Eukaryota; Viridiplantae; Streptophyta; Magnoliopsida; Malvales; Malvaceae.
AACUACAACUAUUCCUACAACCUUGCAUGAAGAAACUCUAGCUGUUCCCACAACCUUGGCUGAGAGAACUCCAACUAUUCCCACAACCUUGGGUGAGGAAACUGCGACUAUUCCCACCACCUUGGGCAAGGAAACUGAAAGUAUUCCCAAAACCUUGGGUGAGGAAACUUCAACUAAUUCCACAACCUUGGGUGAGGAAACUUCUACUAUUCCAACAACCUUGGCUGAGGAAAUUCCAACUAAUCCGACAACCGUGACUGAGGAAACUUCGACUAUUCCCACAACCUUGGGCGAGGAAACUGUGGCUAUUCCCACAACGUUGGGUUUGGAAGCUUCGACUGUUCUUACAACUACAGGUGAGGAACCAUCAACUGUUUCCACAACUAUGGGAAUGGAGACUUUGCCCCCUGCUGUGGCUGAAGGUGAGGAAUCUGCCACUUAAUAUCGUCACUGUCAAAAGUUACCUGG